RNAcentral lists this ribosomal RNA (1827 nucleotides) under Trichinella spiralis. RNAcentral describes it as "SSU rRNA". It matches the Rfam family "Eukaryotic small subunit ribosomal RNA". The record is from RNAcentral. Lineage: Eukaryota; Metazoa; Nematoda; Enoplea; Trichinellida; Trichinellidae.
AACCUGGUUGAUCCUGCCAGUAGUCAUAUGCUUGUCUCAAAGAUUAAGCCAUGCAUGUGUAAGCACACACUGUUUUAAAAGUGAAGCCGCGAAUGGCUCAUUACAACAGCCACAGUUUAUUAGAACUUACAAUCAUGGAUAACUGUGGUAAUUCUAGAGCUAAUACACGCACAAAAACUUCAACUGAAUUGGUUGAAGUGCUUUUAUUAGAACAAAAACCGAACGGCGUUUGACGAAUGUUGAACGUCGAAACUGUUUGGUGAAUCUGAAUAACUAUUUCUGAUCGCAUGGUCUAGCACCGGCGACAUCACUUUCAAGUGUCUGCCUUAUCAACCUUCGAUAGUAGUCUAUGCGACUACCAUGGUGAUAACGGGUAACGGAGAAUCAGGGUUCGACUCCGGAGAGGGAGCCUGAGAAACGGCUACCACAUCCAAGGAAGGCAGCAGGCGCGCAAAUUACCCACUCCCAGCUUGGGGAGGUAGUGACGAAAAAUAACGAGACGAUUCUCGUUUGAGAAACGUUAUCGAAAUGAGUACGCUUUACACACGCUAACGAGUAGCAAUUGGAGGGCAAGUCUGGUGCCAGCCGCCGCGGUAAUUCCAGCUCCAAUAGCGUAUAUUAAAGUUGCUGCGGUUAAAACGCUCGUAGCUGAAUUGUGGUCUUAGACAACAGUCCCCCUACAAAGGUGUGGCACGGUUGCUCGAGAUCUUCAUUCGUGGUUGCUGUUGUUGCUCUUCAUUGAGUGUCAAUGGUGCCUCGAGAUUUUACUUUGAAAAAAUUAGAGUGCUCAAAGCAGGUUGUGAUGCCUGAAUAAUGGUGCAUGGAAUAAUAGAAUACGAUCUCGGUUCUAUUUUGUUGGUUUUCGAACCGGAGAUAAUGAUUGAAAGGAACAGACGGGGGCAUUCGUAUUGCUGCGUUAGAGGUGAAAUUCUUGGAUCGCAGCAAGAUGAACAAUUGCGAAAGCAUUUGCCAAGAAUGUUUUCAUUAAUCAAGAACGAAAGUUAGAGGUUCGAAGGCGAUCAGAUACCGCCCUAGUUCUAACGGUAAACUAUGCCAACCAGCGAUUCGCCGAAGUUCAUUUAAGACUCGGCGAGCAGCUUCCGGGAAACCAAAGUGUUUCGGUUCCGGGGGAAGUAUGGUUGCAAAGCUGAAACUUAAAGGAAUUGACGGAAGGGCACCACCAGGAGUGGAGCCUGCGGCUUAAUUUGACUCAACACGGGAAAACUCACCCGGCCCGGACACUGGAAGGAUUGACAGAUUGACAGCUCUUUCUUGAUUCAGUGGGUAGUGGUGCAUGGCCGUUCUUAGUUGGUGGAGCGAUUUGUCUGGUUAAUUCCGAUAACGAACGAGACUCUACCCUAUUAAAUAGUGACAGUAUUGUAUUUUUUGUGCUGAUCACUUCUUAGAGGGACUGGCAAAUUGAAAGCUGCACGAAAAAGAGCAAUAACAGGUCUGUGAUGCCCUUCGAUGUCCGGGGCUGCACGCGCGCUACAAUGAAAGCGUCAACGUGAGUUACGUCCUUACCUGAAAAGGUUUGGCAAUCGAAUGAAGCGUUUUCUUGAAUGGAAUAGGGAAUUGCAAUUGUUUCCCUUGAACGAGGAAUUCCCAGUAAGCGUGAGUCAUUAGCUCGCGUUGAUUACGUCCCUGCCCUUUGUACACACCGCCCGUCGCUACUACCGAUUGGAUGAUUUAGUGAGGUGUUUUGACUGGCGCCAGUAGUCGGAUAUGUAUUCGGCUUCGCGCCGGGAAAUUUCCCAAACCAAAUCAUCUAGAGGAAGUAAAAGUCGUAACAAGGUUUCCGUAGGUGAACCUGCGGAAGGAUCAUUA